Molecule: transfer RNA, 70 nt
Filed under: Bacillota bacterium
Lineage: Bacteria; Bacillati; Bacillota
Description: tRNA-OTHER
Source: RNAcentral
UGUCCUGUGGACACCGCACUGAUCCUUUGGCACGGCGGUAACAGGGGUUCGAAUCCCCUAGGGGACGCCA